AAAAGUCGUAACAAGGUUUCCGUAGGUGAACCUGCGGAAGGAUCAUUACCGAGUUGAUUCGAGCUCCGGCUCGACUCUCCCACCCUAUGUGUACCUACCUCUGUUGCUUUGGCGGGCCGCGGUCCUCCGCACCGGCGCCCUUCGGGGGGCUGGCCAGCGCCCGCCAGAGGACCAUAAAACUCCAGUCAGUGAACUUCGCAGUCUGAAAAACAAGUUAAUAAACUAAAACUUUCAACAACGGAUCUCUUGGUUCUGGCAUCGAUGAAGAACGCAGCGAAAUGCGAUAAGUAAUGUGAAUUGCAGAAUUCAGUGAAUCAUCGAAUCUUUGAACGCACAUUGCGCCCCUUGGUAUUCCGAGGGGCAUGCCUGUUCGAGCGUCAUUUCAACCCUCAAGCUCUGCUUGGUAUUGGGCCCCGUCCUCCACGGACGCGCCUUAAAGACCUCGGCGGUGGCGUCUUGCCUCAAGCGUAGUAGAAAACACCUCGCUUUGGAGCGCACGGCGUCGCCCGCCGGACGAACCUUUGAAUUAUUUCUCAAGGUUGACCUCGGAUCAGGUAGGGAUACCCGCUGAACUUAA
RNAcentral lists this ribosomal RNA (577 nucleotides) under Neofusicoccum parvum. Its description in RNAcentral is "eukaryotic LSU rRNA". The stretch from base 227 to 380 matches the Rfam family "5.8S ribosomal RNA". The record is from RNAcentral. Lineage: Eukaryota; Fungi; Ascomycota; Dothideomycetes; Botryosphaeriales; Botryosphaeriaceae.